ACGGACUCCGAAAUCAAACAACCAAACCUAGAAGAAAAUUCCUAAAGAAUACAGUCCUCUGAAAUUUCCAUAAAAUCAUUUGAAUGACAGAAGCAAAUUCGUUUAAAACAAGGUAAAGAGUGCGAGGGUGCUAUUACUUAAUCACUUUACAUACACACAUCACACCAAAACGCCUGGCUUCUCUGGCCUGCUGCGUGGUUUUGCCUACUGACAGAACACUGACUACGGCGAUGAACAUACCGCCUUUCACUGCCUGUCUUG
RNAcentral lists this long non-coding RNA (261 nucleotides) under Hordeum vulgare. Its description in RNAcentral is "long non-coding RNA (HVUL_LNC011194)". The record is from RNAcentral. Lineage: Eukaryota; Viridiplantae; Streptophyta; Magnoliopsida; Poales; Poaceae.